Molecule: ribosomal RNA, 492 nt
Filed under: uncultured Desulfobulbus sp.
Lineage: Bacteria; Pseudomonadati; Thermodesulfobacteriota; Desulfobulbia; Desulfobulbales; Desulfobulbaceae
Description: bacterial SSU rRNA
Rfam family: Bacterial small subunit ribosomal RNA
Source: RNAcentral
CAGAAACUCAAAUGAAUUGACGGGGCCGCACAAGCGGUGGAGUAUGUGGUUUAAUUCGAUGCAACGCGAAGAACCUUACCUGGUCUUGACAUCCCGGAGACCCUUAGGAAACUAGGGGGUGCUUCCAUCUGGAAGAAUCUGGAGACAGGUGCUGCAUGGCUGUCGUCAGCUCGUGUCGUGAGAUGUUGGGUUAAGUCCCGCAACGAGCGCAACCCUUGCCUUUAGUUGCCAGCAGUUCGGCUGGGCACUCUAAAGGGACUGCCGGUGUUAAACCGGAGGAAGGUGGGGAUGACGUCAAGUCCUCAUGGCCUUUAUGACCAGGGCUACACACGUACUACAAUGGCCGAUACAAAGGGCAGCGACACUGCGAGGUGAAGCCAAUCCCGUAAAAUCGGUCUCAGUCCGGAUUGGAGUCUGCAACUCGACUCCAUGAAGUUGGAAUCGCUAGUAAUCGUGGAUCAGCAUGCCACGGUGAAUACGUUCCCGGGCCUU